Molecule: long non-coding RNA, 2036 nt
Filed under: Homo sapiens (human)
Lineage: Eukaryota; Metazoa; Chordata; Mammalia; Primates; Hominidae
Description: non-protein coding lnc-CCDC122-3:1
Source: RNAcentral
CUCCCGAGUAGCUGGGACUACAGGCGAGCACCACCACGCCCAGCUAAUUUUUGUACUUUUAGUAGAGACAGGGUUUCACCACGUUGGCCAGAUGGUCUCGAUCUCUUGACCUCAUGAUCCGCCCGCCUUGGCCUCCCAAAGUGCUGGGAUUACAGGCGUGAGCCACUGCGCCCCACCCUGUUCUUAUUGUUUUAAUAACUAUAGGUUCUUUACAUUUCCAUAUCUGUGUGUCCUCUCUUGACAGAAGGGGCAAAAGGGCUUCCUCAAACUUUUUUUUUUUUUUUUUUUUUUUUUUUUUUGAGACAGAGUCUCACUCUUGUUGCCCAGGCUGGAGUGCAAUGGUGCAAACUCAGCUCACUGCAGCCUCUGCCUCCCGGCUUCAAGCCAUACUUCUGCCUCAGCCUCCCGAGUAGCUGGGAUUACAGGCACCUGCCACCACGCUCAGCUAAUUUUUUUGUAUUUUUAGUAGAGAUGGGGUUUCACCAUGUUGGCCAGGCUGGCCUCGAACUUCUGACCUCAAGUGAUCCACCCACGGGAUGAGCUCUUUGCUUCUCUGUCUGAAAUGUUGGAUAUCAGUGCCAAAGAGAGUCUUGCUUUUUAAACUGUGAAAUUGUUUUUCACAGGCUCUUUACUAGUGUAUGGGCUGGAAGCUAUGCCUUUUUUUCCGCAAAAGGUUAAAACUGUAAGAAGAGUUUCUCAGCAUAUAUGACUCAUGUUCUUUCUAGAGUAAGAUCGUUGGGAGACAUUUAGUUUUGAAUAAAUAUAUCUCUAGUGAAGUGUGCAGAGACUUGACAUGUGCUAUUUGCAGUUUUCAGCCUCUUAUAAUUUUGUGAAAAGUGCAGUGUUGAUUGAAAGUUUCUAUUUUUGAUCAUGGUGUUAAGAUCAUUGUUUGUUUUACUUCUUGCCUCAAUAAAAUAUGAGGUAAAAAAAAACUUCAUUUUUGUGAAUUUUUAUAUGUGUUAAAAUUGUAGUAUUUUAAAUUUUCAAAAGAUGCCUUUCUAUAAUAUGGUUUAAUUGUUUAAGUUUUAGCUCACAGUCUAUUUUUAUAACCACUGAGUUUUACAUUUUAUUAUUUAUGCUGUGAUUUGGCAUUCUGUAAAGUUUCUGAUAUGUGCUGGCUACUCUAACAGUUAGGGUCUUUGGAGGUCUGUAUUUCCAACUUUAUAUAAUUGAUCUUUUCUUUGUUUUUACUGUAGCUUCCAGGUCAAGAUUGAAUGUGUUUACCAAAAGGUACUUAUGUAGGAGUUGUGAUUCUUACGUAUUGGUUGCUGAAAACUAAAGGGGCUUUUGAAGGCAGGAUGACAAGCAAAGCAUUAUUUGUAAUAGAGCAUCACUGUUGGAUAUGGUAAAGUAAAAUUUUAGGUGAAAACCAGUGACACAAAGGGAUUCCCUGAUGACUCACCCAUUUUUUUUGAGUCCACUCCUUCAUUUUCUCUGAUCUCCUUCUCUCCUGCUUCAUCAUUACUCUCUGCUGAUAUACAGAGUGUUUGAAUGUAUCCACCACCGUAUCUUCUUUUUCUCUCUUCCUUCUUUGCCCUGCCAAAUGUGAAUGUACUGCAAGGCCCUAUCCUUUCCUUCCUCAAUGCUGAUUCUGGUGUGAUGGAGCAUCUGGAAGCUUAGCUUCAGUCAGUUUGUGAGCCUUUCCUGAACAGGGCAGAAGGAACAAUAGAAGCUUCAUCUACAGUAAGUAGCAUAUGGGGACCCAAACCAGUCUUGCUCCUGUAAACCAGGUGUUGACAGAGGGGAGGUAGAGUUACUUCUGGUUACUCGUAUUCAGACCAUCCUGUAUCCUUCCAGCAAAGCCUAUCAGAUCUGUCCAAUUUGUGUGAACUAGAGUCUUUCUGGAAUCCCGUCCCUUUGGAUGGAACUUGUCUAUUUUGCCCAGGUCCUGCUAGUUCUGGAGAGGCUGAGUUCUGUCCUUCAUCUCCUGAUCCCGUGGCAGGUGAUCUGUCCUGAUAUGGCUAGCCUGUGACUGGAAAUUCCUGCUGCUGUGCCUGACUUUCUAGAUUAAACUUCCUAGUUAUCAGCUCUGGCCU